Molecule: ribosomal RNA, 427 nt
Filed under: uncultured Burkholderiales bacterium
Lineage: Bacteria; Pseudomonadati; Pseudomonadota; Betaproteobacteria; Burkholderiales
Description: bacterial SSU rRNA
Rfam family: Bacterial small subunit ribosomal RNA
Source: RNAcentral
UGGGGAAUUUUGGACAAUGGGGGCAACCCUGAUCCAGCAAUGCCGCGUGCAGGACGAAGGCCUUCGGGUUGUAAACUGCUUUUGUACGGGACGAAAAGUUCUGGGUUAAUACCUCGGGAUGAUGACGGUACCGUAAGAAUAAGCACCGGCUAACUACGUGCCAGCAGCCGCGGUAAUACGUAGGGUGCGAGCGUUAAUCGGAAUUACUGGGCGUAAAGCGUGCGCAGGCGGUUUUGUAGGACAGAUGUGAAAUCCCCGGGCUUAACCUGGGAACUGCAUUUGUGACUGCAAGGCUAGAGUGCGGCAGAGGGAGAUGGAAUUCCGCGUGUAGCAGUGAAAUGCGUAGAUAUGCGGAGGAACACCAAUGGCGAAGGCAAUCUCCUGGGCCUGCACUGACGCUCAUGCACGAAAGCGUGGGGAGCAAACA